Limanda limanda (common dab) is the source of this 1494-nucleotide long non-coding RNA. RefSeq lists it as uncharacterized. The transcript is spliced from 3 exons. The record is from RefSeq and is a predicted model, not a curated record. Lineage: Eukaryota; Metazoa; Chordata; Actinopteri; Pleuronectiformes; Pleuronectidae.
CUCCCUGCACAGAUGUGUAGAUACACUUCACCCUCCAGACUAAUUGAAUCUACGUCUCCACGGCCUGCCUUCCCAGAAAGGGCAGAACCAGCUGCUCUGACUCUGGCUUUUUUUUUUUCUUCCUCCAUUUUUCCAUUUUGUUUCUGAUGAAAGCCUGAUGAGAGCCGAGCUGUGCAGUGAAUGGUCGGCCGUCAGCCUUUCCAGCAGGGCUCCUCCAGCUGAGGGGAGAGCGAGGGUCUGGUGUCCAGCUGUUCUCUCACCCAGGAGGACGGAAACCUCCCUCAGCUGCAGGGAACUCAGUCAACCUGAGCUUCUCUUAUCCCAACAAACAUUUGUUCAACACAAGCCCAAAGAAGGACAGAGGUCUGUCUGUCCGUCCGUGUGUCCGUCCGUCUGUUGACCAAAAUACUCCAGAAUAGGUGCAGGAGCAGAGGAAUGAGGAGAAAAAUGUGAGCGUCUGAAGUUCGAGACGUGGCUGAGGAGCGAGCCAGAUUUUUCACACCCGUCGACUCAUGUAGAUCCCACCCAGGCUCCUCCGGGUCGUACGGGAGGCGGAGGCUGCAGGAGAGCUCAACUCCUCCGAGCUGGAGAGCAGCAUGGAAACAGAGGGAGUGAUUUCUCCUGCAAGACUAAAUAUUCCCUCCUGAGAGGACGAGGGUCAGGAGCAUCAUCAGGAAUGUGAUAGAAAAUUCAUCAGCUCUGGACUCCACUGUCUCUUUAUUUAGGAUGAGGAGUCAGACAGGGACCUGCUGAUGCUUCCUCUUCUUCAUCGCUCUGUGAUGAUGAGGUCAGGGCCAUAGUCAGGGACCUGAGAUUACGAGGGCGUGUUCUCCUCCUCCAGAUAUCCUUCCUUGACAACCAGGAAGCGGAAAGCUCCAGAAAAACUUUUUUUAACUGUCCUCCAUGACCAAGCAUGUGGGAAUGUGAAGGGAGGAACUGAUUAGACUGAACGUCUGGUCUGAACGUCGAUGCGCUCUUUUUUCUGAUGGGAAACGACGAGCUGCAGAUCAUCUCCGACGACCUCCCUUCAGGGCACAGACUUUUUUUUUUCCACCAGUCUUACGCAUGAGGAGUCAAACGAGAAGCAUUCCAGCACAUUUCAACAACUGCCUGUGUUAGCGUUUCCCUGAUCGCCUCCAAAACCAGAGUUUCCACAUGAAGCUUCGUUUACCAAAUAUAAAUAAUCAGGUUUUAAUAAACUCCAUCUUGGUUUUAAAGACCAAGAACCACAAGAAAAUAAAAUAAAUUCUUCCACAGUCAUGAGACUAUUUACAAGAUGGAUGUUUGGAUUGAAAAUGUGUAAUAACCAAACUGUGGAGCUUCUCUUACUGAGAACAUUGUGAUGACAAGACUCAAAACUUUAGCUGCAACAAAACAAACUGUUUGCUCUAUAAUGUUAUGUACUUUUAUCAAAGAGUUUGUGAAAACCAGGGGAAACGAUGACUUUGUAAACAUUAUUGAAGUUUUAAUGGCACAGAGAAAGAAUAGAAAUAA